CGGCAACAGCUCAAAUUUGAAAUCUGGCCCCCCGGGGCCCGAGUUGUAAUUUGCAGAGGAUGCUUCUGGCGCGGCGCCUUCCGAGUUCCCUGGAACGGGACGCCAUAGAGGGUGAGAGCCCCGUACGGUUGGAUGCCUAGCCUCUGUGAAACUCCUUCGAC
This 161-nucleotide ribosomal RNA is filed under the name Claviceps sp. RNAcentral describes it as "partial large subunit ribosomal RNA". It matches the Rfam family "Eukaryotic large subunit ribosomal RNA", at positions 99 to 261 of the family's 3401-position model. The record is from RNAcentral. Lineage: Eukaryota; Fungi; Ascomycota; Sordariomycetes; Hypocreales; Clavicipitaceae.